This 275-nucleotide unclassified non-coding RNA is filed under the name Hevea brasiliensis (rubber tree). Lineage: Eukaryota; Viridiplantae; Streptophyta; Magnoliopsida; Malpighiales; Euphorbiaceae. The record is from RNAcentral.
UGUUUAGGAGCCUCUUCCCUGGCAUGUUGUUGAAUCUCAUUUGUUGGUUGUGCCAGCUCUGAAGCUGGAUUCUGGGGUUUCUCAUCGGGAUGACUGGAAGGAGGAGGGGAAGACGGAGUGGCCAUGGACUCACCACGGUUGACUGAAAGGAUGAGAAAUUGAUGACGGUAGCUAUGGUGGUGGGUGUCAGAACUCAGAAGUGGUUUCUGCUCAUUUCGAAGCGCGAGCGUGUGGCAGUGCUCCAAGUUGGCAGUUGUGGCGAUGUUUAGAAAGGC